This 277-nucleotide long non-coding RNA is filed under the name Lathyrus oleraceus (garden pea). RNAcentral's name for it is "Pisum sativum (pea) long non-coding RNA (PSAT_LNC027126)". The record is from RNAcentral. Lineage: Eukaryota; Viridiplantae; Streptophyta; Magnoliopsida; Fabales; Fabaceae.
UCGAGGCAAGUGGACACCCAAUUACGAGGGUCCAUUCGUGGUCAAGAAGGUCUUCUCUGGCGGAGCCUUGUUGUUGACGACCAUGGAUGGUGAGGAUUUUCCAUCCCCUAUGAAUGCGGACGCAGUUAAAAAAUACUUCGUAUAAGAGACCCGCUGGACGAAAAGAAUAAAAUAGUCCAAUGGAUGGUGAGGAUUUUCCAUCCCCUAUGAAUGCGGACGCAGUUAAAAAAUACUUCGUAUAAGAGACCCGCUGGACGAAAAGAAUAAAAUAGUCCAG